UGGGGAAUCUUGCGCAAUGGGCGAAAGCCUGACGCAGCAACGCCGCGUGGAGGAAGAAGGCCUUCGGGUUGUAAACUCCUGUCAGGGGGAAAGAAGGCACCUGGGUGAAUAGCCCAAGGGCUGACGGUACCCCCAGAGGAAGCCACGGCUAACUACGUGCCAGCAGCCGCGGUAAUACGUAGGUGGUGAGCGUUGUCCGGAAUUAUUGGGCGUAAAGAGCGCGUAGGCGGCUUGUCAGGUCCAACGUGAAAUCCCGGGGCUCAACCCCGGACGUGCGUGGAAACCGGCUUGCUAGAGUCUGGGAGAGGGAAGUGGAAUUCCUGGUGUAGCGGUGAAAUGCGCAGAUAUCAGGAGGAACACCGGUAGCGAAGGCUGCUUCCUGGAACAGUACCGACGCUGAGGCGCGAAAGCUAGGGGAGCAAACAG
This 426-nucleotide ribosomal RNA is filed under the name uncultured bacterium. RNAcentral's name for it is "bacterial SSU rRNA". It matches the Rfam family "Bacterial small subunit ribosomal RNA", at positions 355 to 775 of the family's 1533-position model. The record is from RNAcentral.